This 499-nucleotide ribosomal RNA is filed under the name uncultured bacterium. Its description in RNAcentral is "bacterial SSU rRNA". It matches the Rfam family "Bacterial small subunit ribosomal RNA", at positions 15 to 518 of the family's 1533-position model. The record is from RNAcentral.
GAUCAUGGCUCAGGAUGAACGCUGGCGGCGUGCUUAAUACAUGCAAGUCGAACGAAGACAUCUCGCCGAAGCUUGCUUCAUUGAGAUAUCUUAGUGGCGGACGGGUGAGUAACGCGUGGGUAACCUGCCUUACACAGGGGGAUAACAGUUAGAAAUGACUGCUAAUACCGCAUAAGCGCACAUUAUCGCAUGAUAGAGUGUGAAAAGAUUUAUCGGUGUAAGAUGGACCCGCGUCUGAUUAGCUAGUUGGUGAGGUAACGGCCCACCAAGGCGACGAUCAGUAGCCGGCCUGAGAGGGUGAACGGCCACAUUGGGACUGAGACACGGCCCAAACUCCUACGGGAGGCAGCAGUAGGGAAUAUUGGACAAUGGGGGAAACCCUGAUCCCAGCGACGCCGCGUGAGUGAAGAAGUAUUUCGGUACGUAAAGCUCUAUCAGCAGGGAAGAAAAUGACGGUACCUGACUAAGAAGCACCGGCUAAAUACGUGCCAGCCGCCGC